CACCAAUUGGCCGACCAUGCCCAGGAGAAAGGCCUCUGGUUUCUUCAAAAGGGUAUAUUUAAAUACCUUUUUCAUUUCGUUAUGAAUCAUCUCCCAAAGUGUCUUGAUCCUUGGGCAUGUCCACCAAAGGUGAACUCUAAUCCUCAAAUUCGUCUGUUUUUCUUUAAGUUCAAUCAUAGCAAGCGUCAACUUAUGUUCAUCAAAUUGCCUCUGUACAGCUGGGGCUCUCUUUCUCUUUCUCUCCAGUUGUGUUACUUUACAUUCAGCAGCAACGGCUUUUUCCCUGGCUUCCUCCGCAGUUUGCCGUAUCAAAGUAGGUUCCUGUAUCAAUUUCUGGGUGGUUUCUGUAUUGGUAUUAUUUAUACUUUCUAUAUUUAAGUUAAUUUUAGUAAUUGGAACAUCCACUUUCGCAUUUAUCACGUCCAUUUUCCUGUUAAGCUGAUCCAGUGAAUCAUUUAUCUUAUAUAGUGCAGCCACUAAAGCCUCUUCUGUCGACAUUCCUCUUAGUUUUAAAUGUACUGGUACAAAGGCAGCAACAGAAGGAGCAGGGGGGCCUGAUGAUGAACCUCUCCUGGAUUGUUGCCAAGUCCUCCCAGACCUUAAUGUUUUGUCAGCAGUUGACUGGUAUGUUUUUCCUCUUCCAUUUACCAUAAAGUCCGCAGGCAGAUAGGGUCUCAGCCUGCGUAUCAGAUGGAGCUGGUAAACAGCUGCCCUGGACGCAGAUUUGACCUGUGCCUCCAUGGACAGCUGUGAGUCCAAAAUGACUCCCAGGCUGCGCACCUGGUCCUUCAGGGGCACAGUUACCCCAUUCAGGACCAGGGAAUCCUCCACACCUGCCCGCCUCCUGUCCCCCAAAAACAGUACUUCUGUCUUGUCAGGAUUCAACCUCAAUCUGUUAGCUGCCAUCCAACCUCCAACCGCCUCCAGGCACUCACACAGGACCUUCACUGCCUUCACUGGUUCUGAUUUGAAAGAGAGGUAGAGCUGGGUAUCAUCUGCAUACUGAUGAACACCCAGCCCAAAUCCCCUGAUGAUCUCUCCCAGCGGCUUCAUGUAGAUGUUGAAAAGCAUGGGGGAGAGGACAGAACCCUGAGGCACCCCACAAGUGAGGGCCCAGGGGUCUGAACACCCAUCCCCACCACCACUUUCUGAACACAAGUGGUUGGUUUCACUCGUCCAAGCAGCCUGUCCACAUCCUCGGGGUAACAGAUUGGAAUUGAUCCCACACAACUUGACUAGACAGGACUCUAGCACUCUCCCGCCCCGGCCCUGCUCCCACGGUGGAGUCUACCUCUUCUCGAAUCUGAGCGACUUUAUCUGCAAAAAAACUUUGCAAAGUCAUUGCAGGAGAUCAUGUGGCCGCUACUGGGCCCUGAUGGAGCAGGCGGUUCCGCUAAAUUGCGAACCACCUGAAAGAGUCUCCUGCUGCUGUUUUCCGCAGAUGCAAUAGAGGCGGUGAAGAAAGACUCUUCGCCGUCGCUAUCGCCACUUGGUAGGCUCGACAUUGAGCUCUAACCCGUGUCCGGUCAGAUUCAGAAUGGGUUAUCCGCCACCGGCGCUCUAGCCGUCUCAACGAUUGUUUCAUUGCCCUCAGAUCCGUGGAAAACCACGGGGCUGUCCGGACUCCAUGCAAUCGGAGAGGGCGCUUUGGAGCCAAACGGGAUGGUCAGGCAGCACGACUGGCAUGAGCCGAUUGACUACAACACUAAGAGAUUCAAGGUCAGUCCCAGAGUCUCACGGUUUUUAACUUGCAGCUGGAAAUUCCCUAGCCCAGCUCUUGUAAAGCAACCAGUUUCAAAGGCUUCCACUAGGGGGAAACAGUUUCUAUUUGUAAUAGUCAAUAGUAUCCUCUUUUAGACACAAUUCAAACAAUCCAAAAUUAGUUUCAAUUUUCAGUUACUUUUACUCCUUUUUAAAGCAGCCGGAGACAGUAGAAACAAUGUAUUUCUCUUGUUUAGCUAGCUGUCAAUGAACGUUCUAAACGCUGUCAAUGAACAUUCCAAAAGACGUCAGUCCUGCUAGCAGCCCGUUUCCAGGGUCAGAGCGGCGGUAUUUUUAGAUCUCUUCGCUCUCUCCCACAGGCAUACUCAGUCCACAACUUCCCCCUCUCUUUUCCUGCCUCCAAGAGGGGGUUUAAUGUUCUUUGCUGAUGGAAAUUUAGUCUUUUACAAAAGGCUUUCCAGGACUCCAGCUUGCAACUUCAUUGCCUCAGUCUAUUUACAAAAGGGGAAGGCGGACUUCCUGUUUUGAACCUCCCCGUUACGGUACCAAAUUAAACAUUUAGAAAUCCAAUUCUUCCGCUUCAGCUCUACUCACGGGUAAUUACUUUAAAAUCAAAUUGUCCACAGGAAAAGGUCAGCGCUCUCCAGCAACAGCUAUGUGGCUUCGCUCCGUGGAAGAAGCAGAUGAUUCGAAGCACCACGCCGCUCACCCCACGUCGCUCCGGACCCCCAAAACCGGGUUUCCCCGCGAGUAGGGGAGGCGCAAAAGUUGCCCGCCGAAUCCCACGCUCACAGGCUUCUCCCACCUGUGAUUUUAACGGGUCUCCGCCUUCACCGUGGCGGCCAGACCCAGAUUCCCACGGAGCAGAUUCCUCCCGAUCAGAGGAAUUCUGCCAUUACCGGAGGCGCCUCCCCGGAAGUCCUGAACCGCCGACCUUCUGAUCGGCAAGCCCAUGAGGCUCAGUGGCUGGGCUCAUGUACACAAAAUAUGUCAAAAGGGCAUAUGACCUACACCCUGGGGAGUGAUGCCCUUUGACCUACACCCUGGGGAGUGAUGAAUUUGGGGGCUUAAGUCUAGCAAGAAGGAGAACCCAGCAAUGGCUUUACUGGAUGGUUUGCAGGACUGCAAUGAGAUCAAUAGGUUAGCAAGAUGGUUUUCUUGUGAAGGGAGCAAUAACCAUUAUUAGAAGGAAGGUGGGUUGUGGCUUGCAGGUACUUGAGCUCUGCUUGUUAAUUAGGACUUUGAGACUUGAAUCCCCCUCCAGAGAGGACCAUGAUCAGAAAUAAUCGCCUUCUGCACGCCUGGCGAGAGAGCACUUUGUGAUUCCCCGAUUACCAAAAAGGCGAUUGUAUUAUACUGUAGAACUCGAGCUUGCCCUGAAUAAACAUUGCCUUUCCUUCCCAUUAGCAGGUAAUGGCAGCAGCUUAGCCAUUUUUUCUAAUGAUCUAAAAAUGUAAUUGCAGAUCAUGGGUUCCAGCUUCGUGGGGAUUUCUUGGCGGAAGAAAAUUCAGGUGUUUGAGGCUACAGCGCUCCGUGCUCAAAGUGUGUGUCUUCUGCAGCUGCUGGGUUUGACUGCAACAAAGGGUGGAAUAUACUGAACGUCUGGUUCUGCAGCGGAAACAGCAGGAGCUCAGAGUACAAAACAGGGAGUGGUGAACUUGUUUGAGAAAAUAGGGCACAUUUAAUGGAGCACCUCCUUUCUCAUAUGAUUCCACACCUCCUUUCUUCCUUAAACGAAAUUCCUUUCUUUGCCAUCUCAUUUCCCAGACUCUUACCUGCUUCUCAUAGAGUCAUAGGAUUGUGGGGUAGGAAGGGACCCUCAAGGAUCAUUUAGUCCAACCCCUUGCAAUGGAGGAAUCACAGCUAAAGAAUCCCUGGCAGAGGACUAUCCAACAUAUGCUUAAAAACAUCCCGUGAAGGAGAGCCCACCACCUUCCCACCCCUCCCACAGCUACAAUCCCCAGAGUUCCCUGUGAAGAAGGAUGGAUGGUUAAACCAGUCCAGAAAUGGUAUCUGUGGGGAGGAGGGUGGAAUAAGGGCCUCCUAAUAUGGGACGCGGGUGGUGCUGUGGGUUAAACCAUGGAGCCUAGGACUUGCUGAUCAGAAGGUCGGCGGUUCGAAUCCCCGCAACGGGG
Non-coding RNA from Podarcis lilfordi (Lilford's wall lizard), 3857 nucleotides. The record is from the annotation of a GenBank genome assembly. Lineage: Eukaryota; Metazoa; Chordata; Lepidosauria; Squamata; Lacertidae.